Molecule: ribosomal RNA, 506 nt
Filed under: uncultured bacterium
Lineage: Bacteria
Description: bacterial SSU rRNA
Rfam family: Bacterial small subunit ribosomal RNA
Source: RNAcentral
GACGAACGCUGGCGGCGUGGAUUAGGCAUGCAAGUCGAACGGUAUCAUCCUUUCGGGGGUGAGAGAGUGGCGAACUGGUGAGUAACACGUAGGUUAUCUACCCUCAAGACGGGGACAACCCAGGGAAACUUGGGCUAAUACUGGAUGUGAGCAACUUUUAGUUGUUUGAAAGGUGGCGUAAGCUGUCGCUUGGGGAUGAGCCUGCGUCCUAUUAGUUAGUUGGUGAGGUAACGGCUCACCUAGGCAAUGAUAGGUAGGCGGCCUUAACGGGUGGUCGCCCACACUGGGAUUGAGAUACGGCCCAGACUCCUACGGGAGGCAGCAGUCGAGAAUAGUCUACAAUGGUCGGAAGACUGAUAGUGCGACGCCGCGUGAACGAUGAAUCCCUUCGGGGUGUAAAGUUCUUUUAUAUGUGAGCAGUGCUUCUUAUAUUAACAGUAUGGGGAGAGAGAUAUUAGCAUAUGAAUAAGCAACGGCUAACUCCGUGCCAGCAGCCGACGGUAAAA